UGUAAGGAAUUCCGAAAGAAGCAGAAAUAAAAGGCAUUGGUUCAAAGUCCGUUUAUUCAGACACUUCAGAAAGCACACAUACACGGGAUGGCAAGACUACCCGCUCCCGCCUAAGCUACAGGUUAUAAACGUUUAAAAACCCCUCCCC
Long non-coding RNA from Sphaerodactylus townsendi, 148 nucleotides. RefSeq lists it as uncharacterized. NCBI's taxonomy places the organism in Eukaryota, Metazoa, Chordata, Lepidosauria, Squamata, Sphaerodactylidae. The transcript has 3 exons. The record is from RefSeq and is a predicted model, not a curated record.